Numida meleagris (helmeted guineafowl) is the source of this 2032-nucleotide long non-coding RNA. RefSeq lists it as uncharacterized. The record is from RefSeq and is a predicted model, not a curated record. Lineage: Eukaryota; Metazoa; Chordata; Aves; Galliformes; Numididae. The transcript is spliced from 3 exons.
GAGAUCUCUCCUUGUUGGGAGCCUUUCCCUUCAAACCCUAAAUCUUCUGAUCUGGGAAGGCAAUGGCAUUUUAAAUAUUCUGCAGCAUCUCACCUGGGCUCCAGCUAUCACUCUGUAUAGAUACUUAAAGUGCUUACAAGGAUGAAGAUUCUUUCCUUACUUCGCUCCAACUGCCCUGAGCUCAGCUUUUACUCAGCAAGGCCACAGAAGUCUUGGAAAAAAAUGACAGAAUUUGGACAAGAUUUUAUUCUUGUUCCUCUGUUUGUUUUGUUUAGGAAAUAAAAGCUCAUCUUUGAGCAGUAUAGCCAUGGCAUGUUUACUUUCUGCCGAACAUUGGUCUUUCUGGGAAUCUUUGAUGUGAUUUGAGUUUACUGUCUACCUCUUUCUGUCCACAUUGUAGUAGGGCUUGAUAUUUAUAGAUGUACAUACCCUCCUUGAAACAUGAAAAGUAAGAGAUAUAUAUAUCCAAAUGUCUUCAUGGUAAAAUAAAUCCAAGCAUGGAGGAACUCCGAGUUAGAAUUUAAUGGUAAAAAUGGACGCUAAAUGAAUGGAACCAUGCAGUAGGCUUGAAUCAUGUUUAUUUGAAUUUUUCUGCGCUAAGGUGUUUGGGAAAAUUUCUGUUUAAGUAAGCUUGUUGUAACCUGGAAGAAAUUAUAGCGGUAACAGUCUGUGAAAGUCUGAACAAGCUAAUUAUGUUUAGGUAUGCCUGGGCUGAGGUGUUACCCUAAUUUAAGACAACAUCUUGUGGCUUAGAGGUGCAAUAGUCACAAACCAUAAGGAAACACUGGAGCAACUAUUAAGUCUCCUCGCAGGAAGAACUGUGUGUGGUCCUUCAUCCUAUAUGGGCUCUCAGUAAAACGCAGAAAUCACAGGAAAGUAGAGAUGAUUAGUGGAGUAAUCGCAGCUCAGCACAGUGAAUGGCAGCUCACAUUUCUGGGUCAGCUGUAACUUAUAUACGCCCUCAGUGCAGUUCAGAACUGGUGUCAAAACCCUGGAAAUUGCAGAUUUUGAAUGGAUCGUUAAUAUGGUGUUUGGGAAGCAUCUGGUUUCCCAAGCAGUUGUCUUCCCAAGAAAUUAAAGGAGAAGACUCGAAAUGUUUUGGGAACAACUUUUGGAGAAGAACAGCUUAUUGUGUAUUAACAUUUCUAUUUUAAUGUCACCCACUUCUAAGUUCUCCUUUGAAAGAUGGUGUAUUUGUCUCCUUCAUGCUCUCCUUGCAGGUCUGAAGUUCAGCUUAUUGAACACCUAGAUAGUUUGCUAUAAUUUUACCAUAAUGUCUAUAGCGGAUAUAGUUGGUUUUUAUUAAUAACCUCUAGAAACUUAGCCAGGCCUAUAUCACUGCCUGGCUGAAAGAUUAUACUUUUUAAAUCUACAAUCUAACUGCCCACUGUAUUUCAGUGGAAAGUAAUUGUUGCACCACCAGUGAUUAAAGAGGUCUCAAUCGUCAGCUGCUUUAAAUUCAUCAGUCUUUAGUGAGCUACAGUCAUUAAUCCCAGAUCAGUACGUGACUAAUUGUCUCCGCAAAAUCACUAUUGUGUUUUUGGAAGCUGGCUUCAUAGUGUUACAGAUCUGGGAUGGGAAACUGGGGUUCACAUUUCUGUUUAGAGUGGCACAUUCUUGUUUUUGGUCAUGUGUUCUGCAUACCUUAAAAUCAACAACUAACUUACCUAACUUAGCACGAUUAAAACAAAGCAAUAAAACCCCCAAACACUCUUGUGAAAUGCAGAAAGAUUAGAAACAAGCCAGCAUGCUCUUUGAAUCUGUCAUAUCUUGCUGACUAUUCUGCAUUCCUUUGCUAUUGCAGCAAUUUCUGAGUAUGAAGUUUCUUUCUUCAGUGCUGUGUGGUGGGGAUGUUACAAAUUAGACGUAUAGAGAAAUACAUGGAAAUCUGUGGGCAGUAUGGUAAUGCAGAUAGGAAAUUUUCUUUACUCAGAGCAAAAGGAGGAGCUGUAUUCAUUACAGUUGUCAGUGACUCCACUAUCCCACCCAAAAUUCUAGAUAAUGUUCUGUAGUAAAGCAUGCUGUGCUAACA